UCGAGAAUUUUUCACAAUGGGCGAAAGCCUGAUGGAGCGACGCCGCGUGGGGGAUGAAUGGCUUCGGCCCGUAAACCCCUGUCAUUUGCGAUCAAACCUGCCUGUCUAAUACAUUGGCAGCUGAUAGUAGCGAAAGAGGAAGGGACGGCUAACUCUGUGCCAGCAGCCGCGGUAAUACAGAGGUCCCAAGCGUUGUUCGGAUUCACUGGGCGUAAAGGGUGCGUAGGUGGCGGUGGAAGUUUGAUGUGAAAUCUCCGGGCUUAACCCGGAAAAGGCAUUAAAGACUCCAUUGCUCGAGGACGGGAGGGGAGACUGGAAUUCUCGGUGUAGCGGUGAAAUGCGUAGAUAUCGAGAGGAACACCAGUGGCGAAGGCGAGUCUCUGGACAGUCCCUGACACUGAGGCACGAAAGCUAGGGGAGCAAACA
RNAcentral lists this ribosomal RNA (426 nucleotides) under uncultured prokaryote. RNAcentral's name for it is "bacterial SSU rRNA". It matches the Rfam family "Bacterial small subunit ribosomal RNA", at positions 355 to 774 of the family's 1533-position model. The record is from RNAcentral.